GUGAGGAAUAUUGCCCAAUGGGGGAAACCCUGAGGCAGCAACGCCGCGUGGAGGAAGAAGGUCUUUACGAUCGUAAACUUCUUUUGUGAGGGAAGAGGAAGGACGGUACCUCAUGAAUAAGUCACGGCUAACUACGUGCCAGCAGCCGCGGUAAUACGUAGGUGACGAGCGUUAUCCGGAAUUACUGGGCGUAAAGCGUACGCAGGCGGCAUGGUAAGUCUGACGUGAAAUCUCCUGGCUUAACUGGGAGAGGUCGUUGGAGACUGCUGUGCUUGAGACAAUGAGAGGGGUGCAGAAUUCCCGGUGUAGUGGUGGAAUGCGUAGAUAUCGGGAGGAAUACCAGAGGCGAAAGCGGCACCCUGGCAUUGGUCUGACGCUCAUGUACGAAAGCGUGGGUAGCAAACGGGAUUAGAAACCCCAGUAGUCC
Molecule: ribosomal RNA, 427 nt
Filed under: uncultured bacterium
Lineage: Bacteria
Description: bacterial SSU rRNA
Rfam family: Bacterial small subunit ribosomal RNA
Source: RNAcentral